UAGAAAAUUGCAUUUACUGCUUGGUUGUAAUGAUGGUGCUUUCAAGAUCAAUGAGAGGAGGCCACCAUAAGGUUUAUGUCAGAGUAGGUGACAGGAGAAGGUGAAGACAGAAAAAGAAAAUAGAAGGGGAGAAUAUAUAUGGUAUCAUGCUAGUGCUUCGUAUAUUGGGGUGUUAUCUAAAGCUCGUAUGUAACCAAUGAUUUGAGUAAGGUUAGCAUCCAUGGGUCUUCUUGAUGCUCUUGCCAUCCGCUCUACAAUCUGGAAGUUGCCAAUAGUGCCACUAGAGCUAUUGCUGGAGAUGGUGCUGCAGGUGCCGUUUACUAUUUGCAGCUCCUGCAAUUUCCCUUGAUUAGUGGCGACGGAGGAAGCCACAAGAACCUUUUUCCCGUUAUUAUGUAAUCUUUGUUUUAGUUUUAGUUAUUAGGAAAUAAUUAAAGCAGCUUUUGCUGAUUGUAUAUUAUCCUUUCUUUUUGAAAAAAUUAUUCGUUAAUUAUUUACUAUAUAUAUAUAUUGAUAAAAUAAUUGUGCCAACUAGCUUUCCAACAUGAGCUGGAUUUUUUUUUUAAUUG
Chenopodium quinoa (quinoa) is the source of this 569-nucleotide long non-coding RNA. RefSeq lists it as uncharacterized. The transcript is spliced from 3 exons. The record is from RefSeq and is a predicted model, not a curated record. Lineage: Eukaryota; Viridiplantae; Streptophyta; Magnoliopsida; Caryophyllales; Amaranthaceae.